AAUCGAACUCGGAGAUAGCUGGUUCUCCCCGAAAUAGCUUUAGGGCUAGCGUUAUUUUAGAUUACCGGAGGUAAAGCACUGAAUGGUCUAGGGGCCGCGAGGUUACCAAAGCCUAUCAAACUCUGAAUGCCGGAUAAUUGAUGAAUAGCAGUCAGACUGUGUGAGAUAAGUCUCAUAGUCAAAAGGGAAACAGCCCAGAUCUACAGCUAAGGUCCCAAAUGAACACUAAGUGGAAAAUGAUGUGAAACUGCGAAGACAACCAGGAUGUUGGCUUAGAAGCAGCCACUCAUUCAAAGAGUGCGUAAUAGCUCACUGGUCGAGUGGUUUUGCGCAGAAAAUGUAACGGGGCUAAGUGUUCAACCGAAGCUUAGGCAUUGCAGUAAUGCAUUGGGUAGGGGAGCGUCGUAUGCGGGGCGAAGUCAGAGCGGAAGCACUGGUGGACUGCAUACGAGUGAGAAUGCCGGAAUAAGUAGCGAGAAUUAUGUGAGAAUCAUAAUGGCCGAAAAUCUAAGGUUUCUUGGGGAAGGUUCGUCCGCCCAAGGUUAGUCGGGAGCUAAGCUCAGGCCGAAAGGCGUAGGCGAUGCACAUACGGUAGAAAUUCCGUAACCACCGAACAUUUAAGCUAGAGGGACGCUUUCUUUAAGGUUAUCCCGGGCGAUGGUUGCCCCGGGCGUAAGGGACCGAAAUAUAGUAGGGAAGUAACUGGCGAGAGAGACGAGAAAAGCUCUAGUGUAUACUAAGGUGCCCGUACCGCAAACCGACACAGGUAGAUGGGAUGAGUAUUCUAAGGCCAACGGGAGAAGGGUUGUUAAGGAACUCGGCAAAUUGGCCCCGUAACUUCGGGAUAAGGGGCGCCUGCGAGAGCAGGCCGCAGUGAAAAGGCCCAAGCGACUGUUUAGCAAAAACACAGCUCUCUGCUAAAUCGAAAGAUGACGUAUAGGGGGUGACGCCUGCCCGGUGCUGGAAGGUUAAGGGGAGUGCUUAGCGCAAGCGAAGGUGCGAACUUAAGCCCCAGUAAACGGCGGCCGUAACUAUAACGGUCCUAAGGUAGCGAAAUUCCUUGUCAGGUAAGUUCUGACCCGCACGAAUGGCGUAACGAUUUGGGCACUGUCUCAACAGCCCGCCCGGCGAAAUUGUAGUACCGGUGAAGAUGCCGGUUUCCCGCAACUAGACGGAAAGACCCCAUGGAGCUUCACUGUAGCUUGAUAUUGGAUCUCGGUAUUCCAUGUACAGGAUAGGUGGGAGGCUAGGAAGUAAGCGCGCCAGCGUUUAUGGAGCCAACCUUGGGAUACCACUCUUGGGAUAUUGGGAUUCUAACCUGCGACCAUGAAUCUGGUCGGGGGACACUGUCAGGUGGGCAGUUUGACUGGGGCGGUCGCCUCCAAAAGAGUAACGGAGGCGCUCAAAGGU
RNAcentral lists this ribosomal RNA (1410 nucleotides) under human gut metagenome. RNAcentral's name for it is "bacterial LSU rRNA". It matches the Rfam family "Bacterial large subunit ribosomal RNA", at positions 831 to 2317 of the family's 2925-position model. The record is from RNAcentral.